Molecule: ribosomal RNA, 866 nt
Filed under: uncultured crenarchaeote
Lineage: Archaea; Thermoproteati; Thermoproteota
Description: bacterial SSU rRNA
Rfam family: Archaeal small subunit ribosomal RNA
Source: RNAcentral
UUCCGGUUGAUCCUGCCGGACCUGACUGCUAUCGGAUUGAUACUAAGCCAUGCGAGUCAUUGUAGUAAUACAAGGCAGACGGCUCAGUAACGCGUAGUCAACCUAACCUAUGGACGGGAAUAACCUCGGGAAACUGAGUAUAAUGCCCGAUAGAACAUUAUGCCUGGAAUGGUUUAUGUUCCAAAUGAUUUAUCGCCGUAGGAUGGGACUGCGGCCUAUCAGUUUGUUGGUGAGGUAAUGGCCCACCAAGACUAUUACAGGUACGGGCUCUGAGAGGAGUAGCCCGGAGAUGGGUACUGAGACACGGACCCAGGCCCUAUAGGGCGCAGCAGGCGAGAAAACUUUGCAAUGUGCGAAAGCACGACAAGGUUAGUCCGAGUGGUUUCUGCUAAAGAAACCUUUUGUUAGUCCUAGAAACACUAACGAAUAAGGGGUGGGCAAGUUGUCAGCCGCCGCGGUAAAACCAGCACCUCAAGUGGUCAGGAUGAUUAUUGGGCCUAAAGCAUCCGUAGCCUGCUUUGUCAGUUUUCGGUUAAAUCCAUACGCUCAACGUAUGGGCUGCCGGAAAUACUGCAAAACUAGGGAGUGGGAGAGGUAGACGGUACUCGGGAGGAAGGGGUAAAAUCCUUUGAUCUCUCGAUGACCACCUGUGGCGAAGGCGGUCUACCAGAACACGUCCGACGGUGAGGGAUGAAAGCUGGGGGAGCAAACCGGAUUAGAUACCCGGGUAGUCCCAGCUGUAAACUAUGCAAACUCAGUGAUGCAUUGGCUUGAUGCCAAUGCAGUGUUGCAGGGAAGCCGUUAAGUUUGCCGCCUGGGAAGUACGUACGCAAGUAUGAAACUUAAAGGAAUUGGCGGGGGAGCAC